UUUUUUUUGUUGUUUUUUUUUUGCUGCUUAGGGCCACAUCCGGGCAUAUGGAGGCCCUAAAAGAAAAAGAAAAAGAAAAAAUCUCAUUAAUUUCCAUAGCCUUCCAUUCCAUAGCUUUCUAUUCUAGCCCAUUGCUUUACAAUUCUCUUUUAUCAUGAAUGUGUGUGUUGCACAUGCCUGUGUGGGAUGAAAGUCUGUACUUUUAUUUAGGACACUAGCCCUUUUGUUCUCUCACCCCUUAGUCAAUGAUCACAAUAGCAGCAAAAAUGUAUUAGCACGUGCAAAGCUCUGUGCUAAGUGUUUAUAUGCUUCAGUCUCUCACUCCUCCCCAUAGCUUUGUGAGUCAUCACUCUUAUUACCUAACUUGGGCAGAUGAGGAAACUAAGGCUCAGAGAGGUGAAGCAACUGGUGUAAGGUCACACUUUUUGCAGUGUCAGUCCUAGAAUUUGUUGUUGUUGUUGAAAUAUAGUUGAAGAAAAGAUGUUUCCUUAACUUCCUUUACAAUCCAAUGGUCUGGACAAAAAGAAUGAAAAUCAGGUUGGAAGUGAGGAGGAUGGGUCAGAAUAAUAAUAAUAGCCAACUCCAAAAGUGUCUUUAUUGAAGGGACAAUGCAUUUUCAGAGUUUUAAAAAUCUUGUUAGAAGAUCCCAGAUUUAAAAAAAAAAAAAGAGGUCAUGAAGAAGCAUCUGCAACAAAACACUGAUAUCUUUUUUUUUUUUUUUAGUCGUGCCUAUGGCAUGCAGAAGUUCUCAGGCCAGGAACUGAACCCUUGCCACAGCAGUGACCUGAGCUGCUACAGUGACAAUGCUGGAUCUACUGCGGCACAAGGGAACUCCAAAACACUUAUAAAUUUCGGUUUUGGAUUAUAAGUGGUAAUUGUCUGUACCAGCUACAUGAAAACAAGCACAAUGUUUGUAAAGUCUGUUAAGAUUAAAAAAAGAAAGUACCAUACAAGUGUGAAAUACAAAUAAAAACCUAAAAAUCAUAUACAAGAAAAAUGGCAUCAACAUACCAAGAAUUUAAAUGAACAUCAGGUUUAGUGCAAAUCUCCCAGCAAUGAAAGCAAAAAGGAAAUUUUAAUGAGUUGGAUGUCUAAAUUUGAUGACAUCAUCUGCCAUAGGAAGGAAAUUAUUUCUGCUUUAGUUUUCCAUAGAAAUUUCCCCCUUGCCCUGUGCUGUCCCAAGCAAACACCUAAUACAAACACUUCAGACUUUAUUUCUUUACAUGAAAACUCAAAUAUCACCCUAGGCAUAUCGCUCAGUAUCCAGCAGUCUUUUGACUUCAACAUGUUGAGACUUUCUGAUUUUGAUUAAAACACACACGUGAGAAAUUCAUGAAUGUACUGUGUUUCCUGCAAGUCAUUCCUAAAUGCCUCGCAUGGCCUCUACCAACAGGCGAAAACUUAUUUAAUUCUGUCCUGAGGAGAUGAGACCAGCAGCAUGUAAGGCGAUAGCCUUGAAAAAUAAGGGUUCAAAGCCGGCAUCUCGCCCGGGAGCUUUGUCCUCACGCAGACCCUGAAUCCUAAGCUACACUCAGUUAGCAACCUGAGAACCAGCCUCUCCAAACACAGGGCACUUCAACACGAUGCCUUGAAAGGGAGGAAACCACUGCUUUCUCUCUCUCUUUCAUGCACUAUCAAGCUUCCAUGAAUGACAGGUUUCAGGUCUUUCCUUAGCUGUUUUUAAUAGGUUUAAAACCCCGAGGCUGCUGAUCUGUGAUUAUAUAAACAUAUAUUUUUGUCGAGAUACACAUUUUCUCAAAUCUAAAUAAAUAGCACCUUUUCAGUUUGCAAUUGGCCUUUUAUCAGGAGUCAUUCCUCCCCUCGCUUUUUAUAAAAACAGUCUGGGCUUUGUUAUCCUCCUUCAAAGUCCUUUUUAAAGAAGAAAAAACAGUAUAUGUAUUAGAGAUCCAGUAAGCUUUCAUGUCCUGUGUCAAUUGCUCUCUGCCAAGAAACCCAUUUUAAAUGUUUUAUUUCCCCCCAAAAUUUGUGUAAAGGAACCAAGUGGAUAUUAUUCUUUAAAUCUAAGUUUCAACGGCUUAAUGAGUGGAGCCAAUUGAAGUAAAUCAUAAUUGCUAAACAGGAUUAAGUUUACAGCAGCCUUGAGAAAGUCUUCAGAAAAGCACAACACAAAAAUAGACCCAGACAACGGAAACACAUUUGCAUGGAGCUGCUGUCCCAAGCCUCUUUUCUCUAAAAUGCCGGUAUUAUGAAUCAAUGUGCAUAAAACAGUAACCUUCGUGGUCCUGCGUUUUCACUUGAUCCAUAUUAUUUAUGUUCCACACUCUAUUAUGUAACUGGCAAACAUUUUCAAACAGUAAGGCUCACAUGCCACCAACGGUGAUGUACAAUCAGGCUGAAUUGCUUUCUUCUGCAUUAGGAAAUUAGGGCGAUCCCACUCCGUCCUACUCAUUUGUACACCCUUUGUACUACACAAUUUAUCUUCAGACUAAUGGAUUUUAUGCAGGUGAUCAAAAAUUGUGAGCUUAUGUCUCGACUCAAUUAGCUAAAUUAUUUCUUACCAUUUCAAAUCAUAGCCUAAGGCUCCACGAGACAGCAACUGAGAACAAAUGUAAAAGUGGGAGCAUGCAUGCUCAGACAUCAGACGUGGAGUAAGAAAAUCCCCAGCCUUAUAAGAUCCAGAAACCAGCCUGCUCUACCAUGUGUAAGCCCCUCCACCACCAACUAUUGACUUACACUCACUUUCAGGUUUUUAAUAAAGCCCAGAGUUAGAGCAAACACUUUGGGGCAAUGUUUCCCAAGGAACCUUUGUCAGAACACUAUUCUGCCGGAUGCUCAGGAAAAAAGGGGGGGUUUUGGUCUCAUAAGUUUGGGAAAUGUGCAUUUCGCUAAUCUCAUUAGCGUAUUAAAAGCUCCCAGAAGUCCUACAUAAAACUUAGCUAACUUAGCUGAGCCUCCUGUUUCCCAAAAUUAAGAGGCCACAGAUUCUCAUUUUCAACAUAAUAUUCUGUGGAACCAAGUCUCUGCCAGGAUCCACUUUGGGAAACUCAAAUUGAGAGCACCGAAUUGGCUCCCUGCUUAAAUUUUUUCUAAUUUAAGUUGGACAUUACAUUAUUUAUAAAUAAUCCACUCUGCCUCUGUGGAGAGAGCCAUAAUCUCUAGAGUUUUUGUGGAUGAUGUCUGUUUUAAAUGUUUUUUACAGAAUUUCUUUUGGUGCUUAAGCAACUUGCUCAUUUGGGGUCUAAAGCAUGCGUUCUCCAUCACUGUCCUCCCGGGUGAAAAGUUGUCAGAAUGUAUUCUGUUGACCUGUUACUUGCAACUUUUACCAAUGCUUAAAUUUCCCCAACAUGGAAGCAAACCUCACUUAACAGUCUCUGCUUGAUUAGUAUCAAGGCAGCCAAGUGAACUGUUUAAUACUCACUCUCAAUCUGUUGAAUCCAGUUCCAGGGCCUCUGCAACAAAGACACACACGAUUAAUUACAAAGCUUCAGAGAUCUGAUUCCCUCGCCGGAGUCCUCAGAUACAGUGUCCCAUGUGAUUGAUCAAGCAGCCUCUUUCCACGGACCCUCCCUUCCCCCAAUUCAGAAAGCUGCAAAGGAUGCCUCCAAAAUCAAUGGGAUUCAGCAAGGACCUAGCAUAAUAAAGUCUUAGCUCCAAAACGCUAAGUUUUGCCAGAGCAUAUGGGAUUAUAAAAGCAAAUGUGUAUUCUGCAUAAUAUUGUGUCACAUUAUCAGGCACAUUUUUUAAAAAGGCAACACCCACAGGUCUGAACAACUUCAGUUUUAUGCAAAUUCUGCAAGCACUAAGACGUGCUUACUUGUCACUUUUUUGUUGUAUCAGCACAGCGCCCCAGGGAGGAAUCGUGUCUCAUUUUGCUUUGCCAUUAUUAGUGUCUACCUUUACAAAAAAACUCUCCCCGCUUGCUAAAGGAACUUCUGGCUCUGGACGAGAGUUCUCUGCUCACAUCCUUCUUUUGUGACUGGCAGACAGGAGCUUCUGUGAGUACAAUGAUGCAACUGAAUCCUCCUUGGGAAUUCAAUAUGCUGUAC
RNAcentral lists this long non-coding RNA (4007 nucleotides) under Sus scrofa (pig). RNAcentral's name for it is "lncRNA (ENSSSCG00050039532.1)". Lineage: Eukaryota; Metazoa; Chordata; Mammalia; Artiodactyla; Suidae. The record is from RNAcentral.